GGGUGAUUAGCUCAGCUGGGAGCACCUCCCUUACAUGGAGGGGGUAGGCGAUUCGAUCCCGUCAUCACCCACCA
RNAcentral lists this transfer RNA (74 nucleotides) under Escherichia coli. RNAcentral's name for it is "tRNA-Val". The record is from RNAcentral. Lineage: Bacteria; Pseudomonadati; Pseudomonadota; Gammaproteobacteria; Enterobacterales; Enterobacteriaceae.